ACAACCAUUACUGUACUCUGUGUCACCCAGUAUGCCUUGCAAUCGUGUGCGUGUUACCGCGGGAGUCACACACAACAUGAUGCUAGACUGACAAGCAGUUCAUACAUGUUGUAGAGGGCAACAAAGCCAAUGGCUUCAUAGCAUGCACUGAUAUAUAAUGUCUGGGUGACUGACGGCAGUCAUUCAAGAAAAUAUUAGCGUCUCUUAUUGACUUCUUCGCUUUAUGACACGUGUCUUAAAUGGCUCUUUGAAUGGCAAAGGAUACCGAUCCCAGAACCAUGUAUAUCAAAUGUCUCCGGAUGGUUGAACCGCCACCCGCCCGAAUCUAAUUAAAAUCAAUUUUUUCGUCAUGUCAACCGCCCGACCCGCGGUUUACCCGCGGACUCCGCGAAUGAGACCGCAAACCGCGCAUCUCUAAUGUGUAUGGUUGCUUUAGUACUAUUAUCUUGUGUUUAUUAUAUAGCGUUGUUGUUGUUUUGUUUUUGUUUUUUGUUGUUGUGCUUGCUACCAUGUUUCAUCUUUCCAUAUAUAUACUGUCCUCUGGACCCCCGUCAAAAGCUUCUUUUAGCUUAUUUGGGGGACCCUUUCACGUACCAACGUCUUUAAAUGAUGUCAUUUCACCACUACUGCAAUUGUUACAUGGUAUUGUGAAAAAAUUUGAAACAUGUUUUGCUAUCUAUUGCAUUGGUGAUCACUUCUGUUAUUUCGAUUAAUACCAUUGAUGUGGAGAUAUUGGCUCUGUAUGAUUCUCUGUGAGUGUUUCAUUUUUAUAUAUGAGUUUGUCCAAACUGUUGUUAAAAUUUUUUCAAUUAUUUUAGAAAAUUGUGGAAGUAGAGAAACAUGUCUGUAGUUUGUAAACUGGUCUUUGUCUCCAGUCUUAUAACUCGGUACGACUUUUGCUAUUUUAAUUUUAUCUGGGAAUUUGCCUGUUUGAAAUAAUUGUUUUCUGAUAUUUGUUAAAAGUUCUGAAAUCUCUUCAAAAGCUUUUUUUUAUUGUUUCCUUAUCAAUUCGGUUACAAUCAGUUGAGGUCUUGGAUUUAACAUUUUUACAAUUUUAAUUAUUUCCUUUUUUGUCACACCCUCAAAGAACAUCAAGUUAAGAUUUCUGGAUUUUUUUAUUUUAUUUUACUUGUCUAUUUAUUUUUGGUCAUCAGUUCAUGUAAACGGUACACUUCAAGUGCAAAGCAGAUACAUUUCCUGACCAAAAAGGAUAUAGGCUGAAGAUAAAAACUUUUUAUGCCUACCUUUUCCACAUUUACUGUUGUGUUUCUAGUGUUUUCCUGCCUUCUCCUUUUGUGUGCACCUGUGCUUUUAGUGAUUCGUCCUCGGCGAGAAGCGCACCUUGAGGCACACCUGCUCGCAAUUAGCACACCGGUAUUCAGGCACGUCACUGUCAGCUUGGCCUCGCCUGUUUCACCUUGCUCCGUGAGGUAAAGAGGACUUUAUGCUGCCUAAGUGCGUUCUAGCUUUUCCCUCCGCCGACCAAUGAGGAACCGGAUUUUGUUGGUAAUUCAUGGUGUGCACUUCUGCCCCAUCACCUUUUGUUACACUUUUUGGACUUAUUAAAUGUUUUCCCUUUCAUAAUUCAA
Molecule: long non-coding RNA, 1589 nt
Organism: Nerophis ophidion (straightnose pipefish)
Lineage: Eukaryota; Metazoa; Chordata; Actinopteri; Syngnathiformes; Syngnathidae
Exons: 2
Source: RefSeq, a predicted model, not a curated record